AGCGCUGCAGCAGGGUGGGGCUGGUGUUAGGGGCACCUCUCUGAAGGUUCAGCCCCUCCGUUUGUCCCAUGCUGGGUGCCUUUCCCGCUCUGAUGACUUCCCAAAGAGAAAGGGUCGAGCAGCAUUAGCCUCAAACCCAAAGGCAGGCAGUGGCCGCACGCCCAGCAUGCGGUGCCUGCCUCGGGCUCCUCUGCAGCCCAGCCGGCUCCCUGCCCCUUGCUGCUGCAGCUCCUCUCCCCCUGGAUGCCAGAAAUAGCCUGGCUGGGGAUGUACCAGGCAGUGAAUGAGACAGGCUGCCAUGCAGGCGGGCUCGCCUUGCCUCCCAGGGCCCUGGAUGUGAAGCAGCCCAUGGGAAGG
Molecule: long non-coding RNA, 357 nt
Organism: Oxyura jamaicensis (ruddy duck)
Lineage: Eukaryota; Metazoa; Chordata; Aves; Anseriformes; Anatidae
Exons: 3
Source: RefSeq, a predicted model, not a curated record